RNAcentral lists this ribosomal RNA (442 nucleotides) under uncultured bacterium. RNAcentral's name for it is "partial 16S ribosomal RNA". It matches the Rfam family "Bacterial small subunit ribosomal RNA", at positions 338 to 795 of the family's 1533-position model. The record is from RNAcentral.
CCUACGGGUGGCAGCAGUGGGGAAUAUUGGGCAAUGGGCGCAAGCCUGACCCAGCAAUGCCGCGUGAAGGAAGAAGGCUUUCGGGUUGUAAACUUCUUUUACAGGGGAAGAGCAGAAGACGGUACCCUGAAAACAAGCCACGGCUAACUACGUGCCAGCAGCCGCGGUAAUACGUAGGUGGCAAGCGUUGUCCGGAUUUACUGGGUGUAAAGGGCGUGUAGCCGGGAAGGUAAGGCAGAUGUGAAAUCUGAACGCUCAACCUCCAAAUUGCAUUUGAAACUGGUUGUCUUGAGUACUGGACAGGCAGACGGAAUUCUUUGUGUAGCGGUGAAAUGCGUAGAUAUAAGGAGGAACCCCAGUGGCGAAGGCGGUCUGCUGGACAGCAACUGACGGUGAGGCGCGAAAGCGUGGGGAGCAAACAGGAUUAGAUACCCUAGUAGUC